AACGAACGCUGGCGGCAUGCCUAACACAUGCGAGUCGAACGAGACCUUCGGGUCUAGUGGCGCACGGGUGCGUAACGCGUGGGAACCUGCCCUUAGGUUCGGAAUAACUCCCCGAAAGGGGUGCUAAUACCGGAUAAUGUCUUCGGACCAAAGAUUUAUCGCCUUUGGAUGGGCCCGCGUUGGAUUAGCUAGUUGGUAGGGUAAAAGCCUACCAAGGCGACGAUCCAUAGCUGGUCUGAGAGGAUGAUCAGCCACACUGGGACUGAGACACGGCCCAGACUCCUACGGGAGGCAGCAGUGGGGAAUAUUGGACAAUGGGCGAAAGCCUGAUCCAGCAAUGCCGCGUGAGUGAUGAAGGCCUUAGGGUUGUAAAGCUCUUUUACUCGGGAUGAUAAUGACAGUACCGGGAGAAUAAGCUCCGGCUAACUCCGUG
RNAcentral lists this ribosomal RNA (433 nucleotides) under uncultured bacterium. RNAcentral's name for it is "partial 16S ribosomal RNA". It matches the Rfam family "Bacterial small subunit ribosomal RNA", at positions 29 to 507 of the family's 1533-position model. The record is from RNAcentral.